RNAcentral lists this ribosomal RNA (655 nucleotides) under uncultured archaeon. RNAcentral's name for it is "bacterial SSU rRNA". It matches the Rfam family "Archaeal small subunit ribosomal RNA", at positions 1 to 662 of the family's 1478-position model. The record is from RNAcentral.
CUUCCGGUUGAUCCUGCCGGACCUGACUGCUAUCGGAUUGAUACUAAGCCAUGCGAGUCAUUGUAGCAAUACAAGGCAGACGGCUCAGUAACGCGUAGUCAACCUAACCUAUGGACGGGAAUAACCUCGGGAAACUGAGAAUAAUGCCCGAUAGAACACUAUACCUGGAAUGGUUUGUGUUCCAAAUGAUUUAUCGCCGUAGGAUGGGACUGCGGCCUAUCAGUUUGUUGGUGAGGUAAUGGCCCACCAAGACUAUUACAGGUACGGGCUCUGAGAGGAGUAGCCCGGAGAUGGGUACUGAGACACGGACCCAGGCCCUAUGGGGCGCAGCAGGCGAGAAAACUUUGCAAUGUGCGAAAGCACGACAAGGUUAAUCCGAGUGAUUUGUGCUAAACGAAUCUUUUGUUAGUCCUAGAACCACUAACGAAUAAGGGGUGGGCAAGUUCUGGUGUCAGCCGCCGCGGUAAAACCAGCACCUCAAGUGGUCAGGAUGAUUAUUGGGCCUAAAGCAUCCGUAGCCGGCUCUGUAAGUUUUCGGUUAAAUCUGUACGCUUAACGUACAGGCUGCCGGGAAUACUGCAGAGCUAGGGAGUGGGAGAGGUAGACGGUACUCGGUAGGAAGGGGUAAAAUCCUUUGAUCUAUUGAUGACCACCU